This 440-nucleotide ribosomal RNA is filed under the name uncultured bacterium. Its description in RNAcentral is "partial 16S ribosomal RNA". It matches the Rfam family "Bacterial small subunit ribosomal RNA", at positions 338 to 795 of the family's 1533-position model. The record is from RNAcentral.
CCUACGGGAGGCAGCAGUGGGGAAUAUUGCACAAUGGGGGAAACCCUGAUGCAGCGACGCCGCGUGAAGGAAGAAGUAUUUCGGUAUGUAAACUUCUAUCAGCAGGGAAGAAAAUGACGGUACCUGACUAAGAAGCCCCGGCUAACUACGUGCCAGCAGCCGCGGUAAUACGUAGGGGGCAAGCGUUAUCCGGAUUUACUGGGUGUAAAGGGAGCGUAGGCGGUUGAGCAAGUCAGAAGUGAAAGCCGGGGGCUCAACCCCGGGACUGCUUUGGAAACUGUGGAACUGGAGUGCAGGAGAGGUAAGUGGAAGUCCUAGUGUAGCGGUGAAAUGCGUAGAUAUUAGGAGGAACACCAGUGGCGAAGGCGGCUGACUGGACUGUAAAUGACGCUGAGGCUCGAAAGCGUGGGGAGCAAACAGGAUUAGAUACCCGGGUAGUC